This is a long non-coding RNA of Ruditapes philippinarum (Manila clam), 4078 nucleotides long. RefSeq lists it as uncharacterized. The transcript has 3 exons. Lineage: Eukaryota; Metazoa; Mollusca; Bivalvia; Venerida; Veneridae. The record is from RefSeq and is a predicted model, not a curated record.
GUUUAAUCUUUCCUUUAAUCAUUUAUUUUGCAAAUGCAUUUCCAAAUGUUGAAUUUAAGAAGUUAUACAAACGGUGGAGAUAAUGAAACGGAUCAUAGAAAUACAAGGAAUUCUUUUUUUUUUUUUUCAUAACAUUAACAAGAAACUGAAUAGUCUGGCAUAGAGCAAUCAUCAAGAACGUUACCCUUCUACAGGAAUAAAAUACACAGUUCGAUAUGAGUUUUGAAAGUUUACCUGCUUCCGGUGCUAAGAAAGGAGCAAACUGGACUUAUAAAAUUUAUUUCAUACCUGAAGCUGACAAAAUUUCUAGUUGUCAAUAUGAAAUAGAGGAUGAAGAACUCUUUGGUAAACUCCAGACACUUUUGGAUGUCAACGAAACCGUAGACUAUGUCUGGGCUUAUAAACAUGACCUUUUUUCCUGGCUGCCCCAUGAUCUCAACAUAUUUUAUCAUAUGUUUAUAUUGUUUAAAACACACGAUUGGUGGUGGUCGAUCGAAAAGAAUUCUGAAGGUCUCACUAUUCAACGGAGCAAAGUUCGGGAUGCCGUUCUGAAUAAUUAUCGACGAGUUCCAAGACCGUCUACGAAAGAACUGAUAAACGAUACAGGAUGUAGAAGUAUAAUGGAUUUGAUCGUUUUACUUUUUAAAAGUAACGAACUGAACAAAGAAUACCAUUACUUAGAUAGAAACUGUCAAGAUUUUGCAAGAGCCGUAUUUAAUUAUAUGGCUACGAGCAAAAGGUUAUAAACAAAGGCCUCGGUAUUAAGCAGGUAUUAACAUAAUCAUAUUUCUUCUCAAUAUAACAAAUGCCUUUAACGGAUAAACAAAAGAAAACAAACAUAUAAGAUUUAAAAUAUUUUGCCCAAUAAAAUCAAGACUCUUUUUGGAAACUUAUUUGAUAUCAUUUUUAUUAAACAAAGUUAUAGACAUAUGUCAGUGUAGGGGGAGAUGUAUCCUUAAAACAAAUUCCGUAAUAAAGGAUUAAUUAAUUAAUUUAAUAAAUUUAUUUUGUGGCAUUUUUAAGCUCUCAUGAAAUUAUAAAAAUAUCGUAGAUGAAAAGUGUACAAUGUGGCACCUUUUACCUUCAACGAUUUUUACCAAAUUGUAAAUAGUUCAGUGGGAAAAGAGGGAUAUGGCACCUUUUUAUCCAGAAAACUUUUGUUUUCUCAGCAUUGAAAUGUGUCCAAUGAUACAUUUCUGACCUACCACAUUGCAACCAUAUCAUAAUAUUAUGUUUCUUCCAUAUUGGAAUAAAAGGUACCAUAUGAUAUAUGAUUAUUUAAACCAUCACUCAUUAAAUACUUUUAUCAAAUAAUUAAGCAUUUAACGGUGAUUGUGAUCAUACAAUAGUAAAACAUUUAUCAGGUGAUUGUGAUUAUACAAUAAAACACUUUUUACUCACAUCAACAUAUUAUAUUUAAUUUAGCUUUAGAUAAAUUGUGUAACAAUGCUUUUUAUUCUGAGCAUAUAGUCGCCAUUUUCCCGUCCGUCCGUCCGAAUGUCCGUCUGUCAACUUUAAACCAACUUGAAAAGCAGAUAGAUCGCAUUGGGUAGCUGUGCAGUGCAUAAGAUCCGAACUUCUGCCUUCUCUAAUUUUGGAGUUAUUGUGUUCUUUUUACAUUUUGAAGUUUGUCCGGGACAUAACUCUGAAACUAUAAGAGAUAUCAACAUUAAACUUUGUAGGUAGAUAAAUCUCAUUGAGUUAAAAUACAAUGCAAAAGAACAAACCAUAACUCUGCCUUACCUAAAUUUGGAGUCAUUGCGCUUUGUUCAUUUUUAAACUUUGAACAUUAGCCGGGCCAUAACUCUGUAACCAUAAGAGGUAUCAACAAGAAACUUUGUAGGUAGAUAGAUCUGGGUAAGUGGAUGUGCAGUGCAAAAGAAUCAUAACUCUGUCUUGCCUUAUUUUGGAGCUAUUGUCCUUUGUUCAUUUUUACCUUUGAACUUUAUCUGGGACAUGAGUCUUGCACUAUAGAUAUCAUCAUGAACAUUUUAGGUAGACAAAUCUCAUUGAGUAGAAGUGCAAUGCAAAAUAACCAUAUCUCAUCCUUGCUUAAUGUUGGAGUUAUCUGUUAUUUUUUUACACUUAGAACAUUUUCAAGACAUAGCUCUGAACAUAUAAAAGAUAUAAACAACACGUUUUUGUCAGUAGAUCGCAUUGGGUAGAUGUGCAGUGCAAGAGAAUCAUAAUUAUUCCGUCCCUAAUUUUGGAGUUAUUGCCCUUUGUUUAUUUUUACACUUUGAACUUUGUCCUGAACAAAAAUCUGACACAAUAUGAGAUAUGAACAAGAACUUUUGUAGGUAGAUCUCAUUGGGUAGAUUAGCAGUACAAACGUAACCAACGUUAAUCUGCCUUGCCUAUUUUUUUGUUUUUCGAGUGAUUGCCCUUUGUUCAUUUUUUCACUUUGAACUUUGUCAGGGACAUAACUGUAAAACUAUAAGAGAUAUCAACAUGUUGCUGCAUAGGAAGAUAUACGUAAUUGCGUUAAGAUGCAGUGCAAAUGGAUCAUAACUCUGCUUUUCCUAUUUCUUGAGUUAUUGCCCUUUUCAAGUUUACACUGUGAACUUUGUCCGGGCCAUAACUAUAAGAUUAUUAGAGAUAUCAUCAUGAAACUUUGUAGGUAGAAAGACAUCAAUACGUUAUUAUAAAGUGCAAAUAAAAGUUACUCUGCCUAACCUAAUCUUGGAAUUAUUGCACUUUGAACUUUGCCCUGGUCAGGACUCAAACUACAAGAGGUACACUUUUCUGUGUCCAAAACCUAAUCGAGGAGCAUCAACCGGAUCAAAGGGCUCUUGUAUUUGUAUGUUGUUGAUGUUUAAAGAGCUUUUUAUAGGGUUUAUAUAUUUACAGUAGUUACAUGUAGUUGUUACUUGUAUUGUAUAAAUAAAAGGAAAUGUUUUUAUGAAUCAAUAUACAAUGAGUAUCUCAAAAUUAUCUUAGAAUAUUACAGAGGUUUAAAUGAUAGUGCUAAAAGACGUGAUGUGUUAAAUCUAUUUUCAAAGUUAAGAAUCUAUUAUACUUUGUCUACAAGAAACACAUUUUGAAAAAGAUAUAGAAAAGAAAAAAUGUUUUAAUUGUGGAAGUCUUUCCUGUAAUUAUUUUUGUUAUCGUUCGAAAAGCCAGCCGCCGAUAUUGUUUACUGUGGAAAAUGACGGACGCGGAGAUAAAAAAAGUUUUGUUGUAAUUUUGGAUGACACAUAGAAAAACUAUUUUAAAUUCAGCAGGCAAACAGAAAAAAAACAAAAUUUCACGAUUAUUAGUGUUUAAGUGGCAUAAGAGAUUUAGUGAUGGACGGGAAAACGGACAUUACUUUGAAAAGCAGUAACGGUCAUGACUGCGUAAUUGAAGAAAACAUUGUACGUUAAAUUGACCUUGACGCCAAUAUUAUUUUGGAGUGCGCCGCUGUCGACGACAUGUGCUCAUGUAAAAUGAAAUACUGUUGUAAUAUAAGAAGCUACUAACAUAAAUGUUCCUGUGUUUAUUGGCUAUAAAUUCCCCCAAGCAGUGUAAGAAUUUCAAAUCAAUAUCUUAAAUAUAGUUUACGCAACAAAAAAAGUCCUAGAUUUUUUGGAUAACCCCUCGUUAUAGUGUAUUUUAUUAGUUUCAUUAAUAAAAUUAAUGUUCUCCUUUACUUUCUUAUCCACAAACGGAUCCCGGUAACACAAGUUUAGUACUUAAAGACGUUUUCGGUUGUUUUUUGUGCGCAUCGUACUGCGCUUGCAAGGGAGAUAAUCACGGAUAGUUACCCUUCACAAAGAAUUUAUUUGAAUAGAAGGAGAACGGGUAAGAAUAAUACGAGAGAUGGUUGGACAAUAUCAGAUACGGUAUUCUUUUUAACAUUAGUAUGACAGCAUUGGUGAUAAUUACGGGCGCGUCACACCACCCAGUAAUGGCAGUGGCAUAAGUGCGUCGCUACUUGAUUGUAAAGGCAGACAUGCAGUAAAAGACGUUUAAAUGGUACAUUUAAAGAAACAUCAACAGAAAAAAUUAAAUCCAUGAAAGAAAUGUUCAUUUCUUCAUUUAUUUAGGAAUACCAACUGAUUAGUUUCUUUCUUUUGUAGAGUGAAGAAUAAUAUUG